CAGGCAUGCAGUCCCAAAGGACUGUAUAUGUUUGCAUACUUUAAAACCUGUGGCCUGAGGGUCUGGCUUCCAAUCAGCCCGAAUCUAGGUGCUGACUGAGAUCCUCCCCUUUGGGACACUGA
Non-coding RNA from Ceratotherium simum simum (southern white rhinoceros), 122 nucleotides. Lineage: Eukaryota; Metazoa; Chordata; Mammalia; Perissodactyla; Rhinocerotidae. The record is from RefSeq and is a predicted model, not a curated record.